RNAcentral lists this long non-coding RNA (251 nucleotides) under Vigna radiata. RNAcentral's name for it is "long non-coding RNA (VRAD_LNC013197)". Lineage: Eukaryota; Viridiplantae; Streptophyta; Magnoliopsida; Fabales; Fabaceae. The record is from RNAcentral.
AGAGAGUUUAAAUCAUCAUUCAAAGUUCAAGCACACUCUCUUUUUUAACCAAUCUCACUAAUUCCCAACUUUUUCCCUUUUUCCUUUUAAAUUGAGUUCUCUUUACAUGUUUUUUCUCUUUUUUUCUUUUCUUUUCUUUCACAUGCAUUUUUCUUUUUCAUCUUUUGAACUCAAUGCUUUUCUUUUCUUUUGCCUUUCACUUUCCCCAUUCAACCCCAAACUUGAACCUUUUCAACACAUAUAAUUAUUCU